RNAcentral lists this ribosomal RNA (279 nucleotides) under uncultured bacterium. Its description in RNAcentral is "partial 16S ribosomal RNA". It matches the Rfam family "Bacterial small subunit ribosomal RNA", at positions 506 to 784 of the family's 1533-position model. The record is from RNAcentral.
UGCCAGCAGCCGCGGUAAUACGGAGGGUGCAAGCGUUGUUCGGAAUUACUGGGCGUAAAGCGGGCGUAGGCGGUUUAUCAAGUCUGGUGUGAAAUCCCGGGGCUCAACCCCGGACGUGCACUGGAAACUGGUGAACUUGAGUACUGGAGAGGGUGGUGGAAUUCCCGGUGUAGAGGUGAAAUUCGUAGAUAUCGGGAGGAACAUCAGAGGCGAAGGCGGCCACCUGGACAGAUACUGACGCUGAGGUCCGAAAGCGUGGGGAGCAAACAGGAUUAGAUA